GCUCCAAUAGCGUAUAUUAAUGUUGUUGCAGUUAAAAAGCUCGUAGUUGGAUCUCGGGGCGUGGAGGCGUCGGUCCGCCGUGAAGGUGUGCACUGGCCCGCCCGCUCUUUCCUUGGGGACGUUCGCCAUCGCCAUUAGUUUGGUGGUGGUAUUCCGGCCUCGGCCGGUUUCGGCGCGGUGCACUCGUGUGUCGCGCUGGAGCGCCCCAUCUUUUACCUUGAAUAAAUUAGAGUGUUCCAAGCAGGCAUGUUCGCCGUGAAUACAUUAGCAUGGGAUAAUGGAAUAGGACUUUGGUGCUAUUUCGUUGGUUUUCAGAACCAGAGUAAUGAUUAAUAGGGACAGUUGGGGGCAUUCGUAUUUAGUUGUCAGAGGUGAAAUUCUUGGAUUUACGAAAGACGAACUUGGGCGAAAGCAUCUGUCAAGGAUGUUUUCAUUAAUCAAGAACGAAAGUUAGGGGAUCGAAGACGAUCAGAUACCGUCGUAGUCUUAACCAUAAACUAUGCCGACCAAGGAUUGGUGGACGUUACAUUGAUGACUCCUUCAGCACUUUGUGAGAAAUCACAAGUCUUCGGGCUUUGGGGGGAGUAUGGUCGCAAGGCUGAAACUUAAAGGAAUUGACGGAAGGGCACCACCAGGAGUGGAGCCUGCGGCUUAAUUUGACCCAACACGGGAAAACUUACCAGGUCCAGACAUAGGAAGGAUUGACAGAUUGAGAGCUCUUUCUUGAUUCUAUGGUUGGUGGUGCAUGGCCGUUCUUAGUUGGUGGAGUGAUUUGUCUGCUUAAUUGCGUUAACGAACGAGACCUUAACCUGCUAAAUAGUGACGCGAAUCCUCUCGCUAAAACGCGGAAGCGACGCGGACCGCCCCUCGGGGCCCCGCCGAGCCGAGGUCUGGUUGGAUUCGCGGCGCACUUCUUAGAGGGACUAUUGGUUUCUAGCCAAUGGAAGUUUGAGGCAAUAACAGGUCUGUGAUGCCCUUUAGAUGUUCUGGGCCGCACGCGCGCUACACUGAUCCGUUCAACGAGUUUCUCCCCUUGGCCGUCGGGUCUGGGUAAUCUUCGAAAGCGGAUCGUGCUGGGGAUAGAUGAUUGCAACUGUUCGUCUUCAACGAGGAAUUCCUAGUAAGCGUGAGCCAUCAGCUCGCGUUGAUUACGUCCCUGCCCUUUGUACACACCGCCCGUCGCUCCUACCGAUUGGAUGGUCCGGUGAAAUUUUCGGAUCGUGGCUCGUUGCCUGUGGAUUUCGGUCUGCAGGUUGAGCCGUGAAAAGUUACUUAAACCUUAUCAUCUAGAGGAAGGAGAAGUC
This 1304-nucleotide ribosomal RNA is filed under the name metagenome. RNAcentral describes it as "SSU rRNA". It matches the Rfam family "Eukaryotic small subunit ribosomal RNA", at positions 588 to 1790 of the family's 1831-position model. The record is from RNAcentral.